Molecule: ribosomal RNA, 253 nt
Filed under: uncultured bacterium
Lineage: Bacteria
Description: partial 16S ribosomal RNA
Rfam family: Bacterial small subunit ribosomal RNA
Source: RNAcentral
UACGAAGGGUGCAAACGUUGCUCGGAAUUAUUGGGCGUAAAGCGCACGUAGGCGGCUUGGCAAGUCGGAUGUGAAAUCCCUCGGCUCAACCAAGGAAGUGCAUCCGAAACUGCCGAGCUUGAGUACUUAAGAGGAUCGCGGAAUUCCCGGUGUAGAGGUGAAAUUCGUAGAUAUCGGGAGGAACACCAGUGGCGAAGGCGGCGAUCUGGGAAGAUACUGACGCUGAGGCGCGAAAGCCAGGGGAGCAAACGGG